This 510-nucleotide ribosomal RNA is filed under the name Triticum aestivum (bread wheat). Its description in RNAcentral is "partial small subunit ribosomal RNA". The record is from RNAcentral. Lineage: Eukaryota; Viridiplantae; Streptophyta; Magnoliopsida; Poales; Poaceae.
AUGGUUUACCUGCGCCUCCAGCCAUAUGCUCAGUCCUCUGUGGUCAACCGUCCUUGUCCCAAGCUUGCUCUUAAAUAUUUUGGCCCUUUCAAGGUCUUGGAAAAAGUGGGAAAUGCAGCCUACAAACUAGAGUUACCUCGGGGCAGUAUGGUCCACCCUGUGUUUCAUGUGUCUCAACUCAAGGGCCAUGUGCCGGAUCAUACCCCGGUGUUUACUACCCUUCCGGUUCCGCUCGAUCUGUCAGUACCUGGUGUGAAACCUGAGGAGAUUCUGGAUCGUCGACUGGUCAAAAAGGGCAAUGCAUCUUAUCUACAUAUACUUGUAAAGUGGUCGUCCAUUCCUGCGGCGUCAGCAACCUGGGAAGAUUCCCAAGUACUCAAGCAACGCUACCCAGAUGCACCAGCCUGGGGACAUGCUGGUUCUUCAGGGGGACGUAUUGUAAGUACCUUACAGAUGUCAAAGACGCGAGCAAGACGAGGGAAGCGGGAAGCAGACGAGGAGAAGGCGUAA